This 440-nucleotide ribosomal RNA is filed under the name uncultured bacterium. RNAcentral's name for it is "partial 16S ribosomal RNA". It matches the Rfam family "Bacterial small subunit ribosomal RNA", at positions 338 to 795 of the family's 1533-position model. The record is from RNAcentral.
CCUACGGGAGGCAGCAGUAGGGAAUUUUGCGCAAUGGGCGAAAGCCUGACGCAGCAACGCCGCGUGAUCGAGACGCCCUUCGGGGUGUAAAGAUCUGUCAGUGGGGACGAAACUUGACGGUGGCCACAGAGGAAUCACCGGCUAACUCCGUGCCAGCAGCCGCGGUAAUACGGGGGGGGCAAGCGUUGUCCGGAAUCAUUGGGCGGAAAGAGUUUGUUGGCGGCACGUAAGGUCUGGUGUUAAAGGCAGUGGCUCAACUACUGUACGGCACUGGAUACUUGUGAGCUAGAAUGCGGUAGAGGUAAAGGGAAUUCCGUGUGUAGCGGUGAAAUGCUUAGAUAUCAGGAGGAACAUCGGUGGCGUAAGCGCUUUGCUGGGCCGUAAUUGACGCUGAGGAACGAAAGCCAGGGUAGCAAAUGGGAUUAGAUACCCUAGUAGUC